AAGUCGUAACAAGGUUUCCGUAGGUGAACCUGCGGAAGGAUCAUUAAUGAGUUAGGGUCUUCCAGGCCCGAUCUCCAACCCUUUGUUUAACCACCACGUUGCUUUGGCGGGCCCGUCUGUAACCGGACCGCCGGGGGUUUUCAACCCUUGGCCAGUGCUCGUCAGUAGCCCACAACAAACUCUUUUUAAACAUGUUAAAUCUGAAAAUAGUUAAAUAAACUAAAACUUUCAACAACGGAUCUCUUGGUUCUG
This 252-nucleotide unclassified non-coding RNA is filed under the name Cladophialophora sp. RNAcentral's name for it is "partial contains small subunit ribosomal RNA, internal transcribed spacer 1, and 5.8S ribosomal RNA". The stretch from base 1 to 46 matches the Rfam family "Eukaryotic small subunit ribosomal RNA", at positions 1786 to 1831 of the family's 1831-position model. Lineage: Eukaryota; Fungi; Ascomycota; Eurotiomycetes; Chaetothyriales; Herpotrichiellaceae. The record is from RNAcentral.